GGUGGAGUGUAGCGGUUGGCUAUAGGCUGGAUUGGGUUGGGAUUGCAUUCACAUUCUGAUUUUUGAUUCUGUUACCUGAUACUAAUUCUGAUUUUGAUUCUGUUACCUGAUACUGAUUUUGAUUAUGAUUCUGAUUCUAGUUCUGAUAAUGUUUCUUAUUCUGUAAUGGGUUAAAGCCCAUCUGAUACUGUCUGUUAUAAUGGGCUAAGGCCCAAUUGGUAUUGAAACUAUAAAGUAAGGCUGGC
RNAcentral lists this long non-coding RNA (245 nucleotides) under Gossypium barbadense (sea-island cotton). RNAcentral's name for it is "long non-coding RNA (GBAR_LNC008007)". Lineage: Eukaryota; Viridiplantae; Streptophyta; Magnoliopsida; Malvales; Malvaceae. The record is from RNAcentral.